AAAGGAAUAGACGGGGGCCCGCACAAGCGGCGGAGCAUGCGGAUUAAUUCGAUGCAACGCGAAGAACCUUACCUGGGCUUGACAUGUUCCCGACGACGGCAGAGAUGUCGUUUCCCUUCGGGGCGGGUUCACAGGUGGUGCAUGGUCGUCGUCAGCUCGUGUCGUGAGAUGUUGGGUCAAGUCCCGCAACGAGCGCAACCCUCGCCCCGUGUUGCCAGCGCGUCAUGGCGGGAACUCACGGGGGACCGCCGGGGUUAACCCGGAGGAAGGUGGGGAUGACGUCAGAUCAUCAUGCCCCUUACGUCCAGGGCUUCACGCAUGCUACAAUGGCCGGUACAGCGGGAUGCGACAUGGUGACAUGGAGCGGAUCCCUGAAAACCGGUCUCAGUUCGGAUCGGAGCCUGCAACCCGGCUCCGUGAAGGCGGAGUCGCUAGUAAUCGCGGAUCAGCAACGCCGCGGUGAAUGCGUUCCCGGGCCUUGUACACACCGCCCGU
RNAcentral lists this ribosomal RNA (495 nucleotides) under uncultured bacterium. RNAcentral's name for it is "bacterial SSU rRNA". It matches the Rfam family "Bacterial small subunit ribosomal RNA", at positions 903 to 1397 of the family's 1533-position model. The record is from RNAcentral.